AACGCAAAUUGCACUCUCUGGUAUUCCGGAGAGUAUGCCUGUUUGAGGGUCAGUUAAAUAAAAAUCGGUGUUGUUGCUGCCUUGCGUGGUGAUGCAUCGGAUUUGGGUCGUCUUACCUUUGGUUAAGUGACCUAAAAUUUUGCAUGAUUUUUCGAACGUAUGUAUUUAAAUUAUUUACGUACGUUUUUGAUAUCGAAUAUUAGGAGUGGUCAUUCUCAUGAUUCGCGCCUAUAAUUUUUCAUCAAAAUGACCUCAAAUCAGGUAAGAGUACCCGCUGAACUUAA
Molecule: unclassified non-coding RNA, 284 nt
Filed under: uncultured Glomus
Lineage: Eukaryota; Fungi; Glomeromycota; Glomeromycetes; Glomerales; Glomeraceae
Description: sequence contains ITS2
Rfam family: 5.8S ribosomal RNA (bases 1-52)
Source: RNAcentral